This 553-nucleotide ribosomal RNA is filed under the name Bacillus licheniformis. Its description in RNAcentral is "bacterial SSU rRNA". It matches the Rfam family "Bacterial small subunit ribosomal RNA", at positions 365 to 918 of the family's 1533-position model. Lineage: Bacteria; Bacillati; Bacillota; Bacilli; Caryophanales; Bacillaceae. The record is from RNAcentral.
UCUGACGGACGACGUCUGACGGAAGCACGCCGCGUGAUGAUGAGGUUUCGGACGUAAAACUUGUUGUCGGGAAAGCAAGUACCGUUCGAAUAGGGCGGUACCUUGACGGUACCUAACCAGAAAGCCACGGCUAACUACGUGCCAGCAGCCGCGGUAAUACGUAGGUGGCAAGCGUUGUCCGGAAUUAUUGGGCGUAAAGCGCGCGCAGGCGGUUUCUUAAGUCUGAUGUGAAAGCCCCCGGCUCAACCGGGGAGGGUCAUUGGAAACUGGGGAACUUGAGUGCAGAAGAGGAGAGUGGAAUUCCACGUGUAGCGGUGAAAUGCGUAGAGAUGUGGAGGAACACCAGUGGCGAAGGCGACUCUCUGGUCUGUAACUGACGCUGAGGCGCGAAAGCGUGGGGAGCGAACAGGAUUAGAUACCCUGGUAGUCCACGCCGUAAACGAUGAGUGCUAAGUGUUAGAGGGUUUCCGCCCUUUAGUGCUGCAGCAAACGCAUUAAGCACUCCGCCUGGGGAGUACGGUCGCAAGACUGAAACUCAGAAAUUUUUUUCGGG